Helicoverpa zea (corn earworm) is the source of this 1438-nucleotide long non-coding RNA. RefSeq lists it as uncharacterized. NCBI's taxonomy places the organism in Eukaryota, Metazoa, Arthropoda, Insecta, Lepidoptera, Noctuidae. The record is from RefSeq and is a predicted model, not a curated record. The transcript is spliced from 3 exons.
GAUUUUAGUUCCUUUUUUGUUGAAUUCUUCUGUUUAGAUCCACGCUGUGAAGUUUCGUCGCCCGGUCGUGGGAAGAGCAUGUCUUGUAUGACAAGGUAAGUGAGUAAAAUGAUAUUCAAAGUGAAUAUUUGUAAACACGGACAGUUGAAAGUAUUCCUGGUUUUUGUUGGUUUUUCUGUUUGAUGGAUCUAAUACAAAUAUCCGAUGUGCUAUUAUCUCAUGUUCUAACAACAGAACAUUAUCGUCCAGCGCUUAUUCUAGGUUACUUUGUAGAAGAGGUUGUAUAAUAUGUAACAAAAUUGUAACCCUUAAAUGCAUAGCAUUUGGACAAACACUAAUGGCCUGUAUAGAGAUUUUCAAAUGCGAUGUCUUUUGCAUAAGAACCCGGUAUUUCUUUCUGACCGUUUGUUUCCAAAGUUUACAAACUUAAAGUAAAAACUAAAACCGUCUUCUUAACAUGGGUUGUUUUAUAAUUUACAUUCCAUUCCGUUCCAUUUUCGGUCGUCAAAUCGCCGAUUUGACCAAUGGGUUGUUAUGGAUUGGUUAUCGUCAUAGUGAAGGGGCCCAACUCACCCAUAUUGUGGUAUUUUAAUUUCUUCACUUGUUUUUCAGCCAUCGAUUCCAAGAAGCUGUCAUGGACGUGGUCGCAAAACGUCUUCGUUUGAAAUAUGUCUGGUCAAAGCAAGGUUUGAUAGGCUGAGCGUGCCGCGUGCGAUAGAAGCUCUGCGAUUUUUUAUACAAUUUUUUUAUAAUAUUUUUUAUAAAAUUAUAUAAUUUUUGCGUACCAACAGCGACUGGUAAUUAAAUAUGAGUUUUUGGAUGAUAAUUUUGACUUAAAGGUGCUCUAUUUAUUUUUAGCUGUGCCACAACGGCGGCGGCGUUUGGAGUCGUUUGCAGUUGGGUGUUUCUAUGGCGAAUGGAAAAAACCCAGAGGGAGUCCAAUUAGCUGGCCAGAAAAAAUGUGCUGCAUGGUAAACAGUAGUCUGUGACACCAUCCUCGCCGCCGAAGAUAGGACAAGAUGACGAAAGAUAGUCCAGGAGAAACUGAUACAUCGAAGUCACGACGCUAAAUAUUGAGGAUAGAAGACACAAGUGCUGUUUUGUCUAUCAGGUACAAAUCUAUUUCUACCUCACUGUGACGGUCAUAAGACGCUGCAAUCCGAGGAGUAAGCUCUGUACCUUCACCUUCGCCAUUGAUCUUCCUGGCCACUACAUCGAGUCGUCUGUCUAAAGUACGAGACCUUGCUGAACUCCUUAAUAAUUCUCGUCAAAUAAUGCCCCUAACAUGUCAGUCACUUUAAGCUUCUCUCAUCGCAUUAUGUUUUAAAUAGUGACUACCAUAACGUCAUCAUGCAAAUAUAUACACUUAAUAAUGUAGAGGUACCUAAUAAAAAAGUGUCUUAUUUGUCAGUUAUUUGCUAUUUUUAUUAAACGUCAU